AUUGAACGCUGGCGGCAUGCCUUACACAUGCAAGUCGAACGGUAACAGGUCUUCGGAUGCUGACGAGUGGCGAGCGGGUGAGUAAUACAUCGGAACGUGCCCGAUCGUGGGGGAUAACGCAGCGAAAGCUGUGCUAAUACCGCAUACGAUCUACGGAUGAAAGCGGGGGAUCGCAAGACCUCGCGCGGACGGAGCGGCCGAUGGCAGAUUAGGUAGUUGGUGGGAUAAAAGCUUACCAAGCCGACGAUCUGUAGCUGGUCUGAGAGGACGACCAGCCACACUGGGACUGAGACACGGCCCAGACUCCUACGGGAGGCAGCAGUGGGGAAUUUUGGACAAUGGGCGCAAGCCUGAUCCAGCCAUGCCGCGUGCAGGAUGAAGGCCUUCGGGUUGUAAACUGCUUUUGUACGGAACGAAAAAGCUCUCUCUAAUACAGGGGGUGAAUGACGGUACCGGAAGAAUAAGCACCGGCUAACUACGUG
Molecule: ribosomal RNA, 482 nt
Filed under: uncultured bacterium
Lineage: Bacteria
Description: partial 16S ribosomal RNA
Rfam family: Bacterial small subunit ribosomal RNA
Source: RNAcentral